This is a long non-coding RNA of Oncorhynchus tshawytscha (Chinook salmon), 351 nucleotides long. The record is from Ensembl. Lineage: Eukaryota; Metazoa; Chordata; Actinopteri; Salmoniformes; Salmonidae.
GGGGUUAGGGACUGGACAGGUCAGUAGCAGACAGGGGGUUAAGGACUGGACAGGUCAGUAGCAGACAGGGGGUUAGGGUUAGGACUGGACAGGUCAGUAGCAGACAGGGGGUUAGGGUCUGGACAGGUCAGUAGCAGACAGGGGUUUAGGGUUAGGACUGGACAGGACAGGUCAGUAGCAGACAGGGGGUUAGGGACUGGACAGGUCAGUAUCAGACAGGGGGUUAAGGACUGGACAGGUCAGUAGCAGACAGGGGGUUAGGGUUAGGACUGGACAGGUCAGUAGAGGAAGAGCAGGAACCAGGAGAGGAUGGAGAUUGAUAGACAUCCCAUCUCUGUCUCUCUCUCUCAC